This is a long non-coding RNA of Homo sapiens (human), 1193 nucleotides long. Ensembl annotates it as long intergenic non-protein coding RNA 354. The record is from Ensembl. NCBI's taxonomy places the organism in Eukaryota, Metazoa, Chordata, Mammalia, Primates, Hominidae.
AUGGGGCAAUGAGCCUGUUUCCUGAAGUCCCAGUGGCCACACAGCUGAACCUUGCAAACUUCUUAUCAAACUCUCAGCCCAAGAACAAUUAGCCAGGAUCAACACCCCAGCAAAGGUCAUUUGGGUUUGGAUUACAAAUUGCCAUCACCUCAGAGAAGAGGAGAGGGGAUCUGUUUGAGAAGAAUGUUUCUCUGCAGCUAAGGAUUAGCAGGCAUCCACAAGCCCGCCCUGCAGAGAUCUUCGAAAGGUGGACAUGGACUCCAUGGAAGCCUGAGCUGCCAGGGGCUUCCCUGGGGCAGCACUGCUUCGCGUAGGCUCACGAGAAACUUCCAGGGUUCCUGGGUAAGGAAGACACAGCAAGAGCUGGCCUCUGCCGCAUCUGCCUUUGUCACCAGACGCCCAUCUUUAGGGCACCUCUCUCUCCGCUGCUUGAGUUUUAGGGUCUUGCCAUAAAACUUCAUUAAGGCCUCCCAGGCGAGGCUCAAAGCACCCUGCCCCGCGUAGGAAAAGGUUCAGAGCACAUAGAGAAAAGAGCAAGGUUGCACCCCAAAAGAAUGACAGGCAGGGAGACAAAUGCUGGCUCAGCCAGCCUGACUCCAUUCCCUGGGGGGCCGAGAGGGAUGUACGAUGGGUCUUGUGAGGGUGGAGGGUGCCUGCCUCGCCCGAGGGAUGCUGUGCCCAUGCCCCUGCUGCCAGUUCACCCAAAGCAGUUGACGUUUUUAAACGAGCACAAAGUCUCUGCUCUUCAGAGUGUGACGGGCUGCCCCUGUCUGCAAAAGCUGUCCCCGAAUAGGCUUUCUCUGAGCUUGUUACCGUGGAGGGCUGGGCCCGGUUUCUAAUCGCCCCCUUCACCGGGCUGCCUGCCGCUGGCUGCGGAAAGUGUGGGUUUGGCUGCAUGAUGGCCUCGUAAUGGCUGUGGUGACGCCCUCUGCGUCUUCUCCCAGCGCCAGCCUUUCAACAGAGCAGCACAUUAUGCCUGGAUAAGACUCAAAGAGCAGCUUAAUAUCAGGUUCUCUGGGGCUGUAAUCAUCGGUUCAGGAUGGAGCAGACACAGCCGCAGCAAGGCCUCUGUGCAGCCCCCGGUUUAAAACACAUCAACGCAUCCGUGGGCACUUUUGUGAGUUAAAGCUCAACUUACACAUCUGCCUGUAUCCAUAGGAAAUGAAUGAAAAUAAACAAACAAAUUCCUUGCA